This 501-nucleotide ribosomal RNA is filed under the name uncultured bacterium. RNAcentral describes it as "partial 16S ribosomal RNA". It matches the Rfam family "Bacterial small subunit ribosomal RNA", at positions 30 to 523 of the family's 1533-position model. The record is from RNAcentral.
AUUGAACGCUGGCGGCAGGCUUAACACAUGCAAGUCGAGCGGGGGAAGGUAGCUUGCUACCGGACCUAGCGGCGGACGGGUGAGUAAUGCUUAGGAAUCUGCCUAUUAGUGGGGGACAACAUCUCGAACGGGAUGCUAAUACCGCAUACGUCCUACGGGAGAAAGCAGGGGAUCUUCGGACCUUGCGCUAAUAGAUGAGUCUAAGUCGGAUUAGCUAGUUGGUGGGGUAAAGGCCUACCAAGGCGACGAUCUGUAGCGGGUCUGAGAGGAUGAUCCGCCACACUGGGACUGAGACACGGCCCAGACUCCUACGGGAGGCAGCAGUGGGGAAUAUUGGACAAUGGGGGGAACCCUGAUCCAGCCAUGCCGCGUGUGUGAAGAAGGCCUUAUGGUUGUAAAGCACUUUAAGCGAGGAGGAGGCUACUUUAGUUAAUACCUAGAGAUAGUGGACGUUACUCGCAGAAUAAACACCGGCUAACUCUGUGCCAGCCGCCGCUGUAA